GAUGAACGCUGGCGGCGUGCUUAACACAUGCAAGUCGAACGAAGCAUUUGCGACAGUUUUUUUCGGAAUGAAGUUGCUUAUGACUGAGUGGCGGACGGGUGAGUAACGCGUGGGUAACCUGCCUUGUACUGGGGGAUAGCAGCUUGAAACGGCUGGUAAUACCGCAUAAGCGCACAAUGUUGCAUGACAUGGUGCGAAAAACUCCGGUGAGAUAGGAGGGACCGGAGCCUGAUUAGCUAGUUGGUGAGAGAACAGCCCACCAAGGCGACGAUGCGUAGCCGAGCAGAGAGGCUCAGCCGAGACUUUUGGGCUGAGAAGCAGUCGAGAAUCCUACGCGAGGGAGGAGUGGGGAAUAGUGCAAAAUGGAGGGAGCGCUGAUGCAGUGACGCCGCGUGAGUGAAGAAGUAAGUCGUGAUGUAAAGCGCUAGCAACAGGGAAGGUAGUGACGGUACCUGACUAAGAAGCUCCGGCUAAAUACGUG
RNAcentral lists this ribosomal RNA (481 nucleotides) under uncultured bacterium. RNAcentral's name for it is "partial 16S ribosomal RNA". It matches the Rfam family "Bacterial small subunit ribosomal RNA", at positions 28 to 507 of the family's 1533-position model. The record is from RNAcentral.